This 539-nucleotide ribosomal RNA is filed under the name Centrophasma hadrillum. RNAcentral describes it as "partial 28S ribosomal RNA". The record is from RNAcentral. Lineage: Eukaryota; Metazoa; Arthropoda; Insecta; Phasmatodea; Lonchodidae.
GAGAGUUCAAGAGUACGUGAAACCGUUCAGGGGUAAACGGGAGAAAUCCUGAAUUCGAAAGGGAUUGGAUUCAAGUCCUGCCGAGUGUAUAUGGGACGUCCCUGCCAGAUGGCGCUGGUCGCCCGCGGCGAUUCAUUUCGUUUGCGGUGUCGUUCCCGGCGAUCACUCGGCUAUGUGGCGUUUACCCGGCACCGGAGGAGUGCACUUCCCCCCUAGUAGAAACGUCGCGACCCGUUGGGUGCCGGUCUGGGGCCCAGGAUGGCAGCCCACGUGUCCUGUGGGGGCUCUCACAGGCAUGUGGACUCUUGGUGACCUGGCCGGCUGCCCGAUGGUAUGACCAGAGGAGUCGAUCCGCUGCAAGUGAAACACUUUGGUUGUGUAGCGUCCGGCCUGUCGCCGAUGCGUGCAGGGAUUGAGGUGUAAACCGGGGGUGCCCGUGCGAAGCACGGCCCCGGCCCUGCUGCGUUUUCGGACUUUGGUGUCCUCGGACUGGAUCAAUACUCCUGUCUGCGACGCCCACCUUCGGAUGGUCUCCCGCC